GGAAGCCUCUAGCAGGGAGAUAGGGGGCAGCGCGCGAAGAGCAUCGCACUUGCGGCGAUGUCGGCAGCGUCCUCUCGGACCUUGAAAAUCCGGGUGAGGGCCACGUGGACAUCCGAUCUGGUUCGUACCCAUAUCCGCAGCAGGUCUCCAAGGUGAAUAGCCUCUAGUCGAUAGAAUAAUGUAGGUAAGGGAAGUCGGCAAAUUGGAUCCGUAACUUCGGGAUAAGGAUUGGCUCUGAGGUUCUAGGUGAGUCGGGCUUGUCAGAGAAGCGGUCGGUUCUUGUGUCGGAUGCCGGGCCUGGGUGAGGUCGAGCCGCAAGGCGAGAUCAAUCCCGGUCCCAGCGCUUCGGCCUACCCCGUGGACCUUUCAAGCUUCAGGGGGCCGUGGAUCACGGCGGCUGGGCAACUGGCCGUCCCGCGCGUCUCCUACGGCCACCAUCUAAAGAACAACUUAGAACUGGCACUGACCAGGGGAAUCCGACUGUCUAAUUAAAACAAAGCAUUGCGAUGGACCUAGCGGUUGUUGACGCAAUGU
This 534-nucleotide non-coding RNA is filed under the name Arabis alpina (gray rockcress). RNAcentral describes it as "Eukaryotic large subunit ribosomal RNA". It matches the Rfam family "Eukaryotic large subunit ribosomal RNA", at positions 1722 to 2192 of the family's 3401-position model. The record is from Rfam by way of RNAcentral. Lineage: Eukaryota; Viridiplantae; Streptophyta; Magnoliopsida; Brassicales; Brassicaceae.